RNAcentral lists this ribosomal RNA (230 nucleotides) under uncultured bacterium. Its description in RNAcentral is "partial 16S ribosomal RNA". It matches the Rfam family "Bacterial small subunit ribosomal RNA", at positions 338 to 560 of the family's 1533-position model. The record is from RNAcentral.
CCUACGGGACGCAGCAGUAGGGAAUUUUCUGCAAUGGGGGGAACCCUGACCGAGCAACGCCGCGUGAAGGAAGAAGAAAUUCGUUCUGUAAACUUCUGUUAUAAAGGAAGAAAGGCGGAUGAAGGAAAUGACAUCCGAGUGACGGUACUUUAUGAGAAAGCCACGGCUAACUACGUGCCAGCAGCCUCGGCAAUACGUCGGUGGCAAGCGUUAUCCGGAAUUAUUGGGCG